Molecule: ribosomal RNA, 373 nt
Filed under: uncultured organism
Description: partial 16S ribosomal RNA
Rfam family: Bacterial small subunit ribosomal RNA
Source: RNAcentral
GUAGGUGGCAAGCGUUGUCCGGAAUUAUUGGGCGUAAAGCGCGCGCAGGUGGUUCUUUAAGUCUGAUGUGAAAGCCCCCGGGCUCAACCGGGGAGGGUCAUUGGAAACUGGGGAACUUGAGUGCAGGAGAGGAAAGUGGAAUUCCACGUGUAGCGGUGAAAUGCGUAGAUAUGUGGAGGAACACCAGUGGCGAAGGCGACUUCCUGGCCUGUAACUGACACUGAGGCGCGAAAGCGUGGGGAGCAAACAGGAUUAGAUACCCUGGUAGUCCACGCCGUAAACGAUGAGUGCUAAGUGUUGGGGGGUUUCCGCCCCUCAGUGCUGCAGCUAACGCAUUAAGCACUCCGCCUGGGGAGUACGGUCGCAAAGACUG